Molecule: ribosomal RNA, 205 nt
Filed under: uncultured bacterium
Lineage: Bacteria
Description: partial 16S ribosomal RNA
Rfam family: Bacterial small subunit ribosomal RNA
Source: RNAcentral
ACUCCUACGGGAGGCAGCAGUGGGAAUAUUGGACAAUGGGGGCACCCUGAUCCAGCGAUGCCGCGUGUGUGAAGAAGGCCUGAGGGGUUGUAAAGCACUUUUAGUGGGGAGGAAAGUUAACAGGUUAAGAGCUAGUUAAGUUGACGUUACCCACCAUAAACAGCACCGGCUAACUCCGUGCCAGCAGCCGCGGUAAUACGGGGGU